UGCCGGCGACCGGCGGACGGGUGCGUAACGCGUAUGUAACCUACCUUUGACAGGGGGAUAACAUCGAGAAAUUGGUACUAAUACCCCAUAACAUCACCGGAGGCAUCUUCGGUGGUUGAAAACUCAGGUGGUCAGAGAUGGACAUGCGUUGUAUUAGCUAGUUGGUGAGGUAACGGCUCACAAAGGCGACGAUACAUAGGGGGACUGAGAGGUCAACCCCCCACAUUGGUACUGAGACACGGACCAAACUCCUACGGGAGGCAGCAG
RNAcentral lists this ribosomal RNA (267 nucleotides) under uncultured bacterium. RNAcentral's name for it is "partial 16S ribosomal RNA". It matches the Rfam family "Bacterial small subunit ribosomal RNA", at positions 86 to 354 of the family's 1533-position model. The record is from RNAcentral.